RNAcentral lists this ribosomal RNA (500 nucleotides) under uncultured bacterium. RNAcentral describes it as "partial 16S ribosomal RNA". It matches the Rfam family "Bacterial small subunit ribosomal RNA", at positions 30 to 523 of the family's 1533-position model. The record is from RNAcentral.
AUUGAACGCUGGCGGAAUGCUUUACACAUGCAAGUCGAACGGCAGCACGGGGGCAACCCUGGUGGCGAGUGGCGAACGGGUGAGUAAUACAUCGGAACGUGCCCAGUCGUGGGGGAUAACGUAGCGAAAGUUACGCUAAUACCGCAUACGAUCUACGGAUGAAAGCGGGGGACCGUAAGGCCUCGCGCGAUUUGAGCGGCCGAUGUCAGAUUAGGUAGUUGGUGAGGUAAAGGCUCACCAAGCCGACGAUCUGUAGCUGGUCUGAGAGGACGACCAGCCACACUGGGACUGAGACACGGCCCAGACUCCUACGGGAGACAGCAGUGGGGAAUUUUGGACAAUGGGCGCAAGCCUGAUCCAGCCAUUCCGCGUGCAGGACGAAGGCCUUCGGGUUGUAAACUGCUUUUGUACGGAACGAAAAGGCUCUGGUUAAUACCUGGGGCUCAUGACGGUACCGUAAGAAUAAGCACCGGCUAACUACGUGCCAGCCGCCGCAGUAA